This 523-nucleotide ribosomal RNA is filed under the name uncultured marine eukaryote. Its description in RNAcentral is "SSU rRNA". It matches the Rfam family "Eukaryotic small subunit ribosomal RNA", at positions 41 to 565 of the family's 1831-position model. The record is from RNAcentral.
AGAUUAAGCCAUGCAUGUCUCAGUAUAAGCAUCCAUAUGGUGAAACUGCGAAUAGCUCAUUACAAUAGUUAUAGCUUACUUGGUGGUCACUCUUUACAUGGAUAACUGUGGUAAUUCUAGAGCUAAUACAUGCGUCAAAACCCAACUUCCUGGACGGGUUGUGUUUAUUAGCCCCAGAAUCAACCCAGGCUCUGCCUGGCCCUGUGGUGAACCAUAAUAAGCAAGCGAAUCGCGUAGCAUCCGCUGGCGAUUAACCAUUCAAGUUUCUGACCUAUCAGCUUCCGACGGUACGGUAUUGGCCUACCGUGGCAAUGACGGGUAACGGAGAAUUAGGGUUCGAUUCCGGAGAGGGAGCCUGAGAAAUGGCUACCACAUCUAAGGAAGGCAGCAGGCGCGCAAAUUACCCAACCCUGACACAGGGAGGUAGUGACAAGAAAUAACAAUAUAGGGCAUCCAUGUCUUGUAAUUGGAAUGAAUGGAAUUUAAAUCACUUUACGAGUAUCGAUUGGAGGGCAAGUCUGGU